RNAcentral lists this unclassified non-coding RNA (238 nucleotides) under uncultured fungus. Its description in RNAcentral is "sequence contains ITS2". The stretch from base 1 to 52 matches the Rfam family "5.8S ribosomal RNA", at positions 103 to 154 of the family's 154-position model. Lineage: Eukaryota; Fungi. The record is from RNAcentral.
AACGCACAUUGCGCCCCUUGGUAUUCCGAGGGGCAUGCCUGUUCGAGCGUCAUUAUAACCACUCAAGCUUGGCUUGGUAUUGGGGUUCGCGGUUUCGCGGCUCUUAAAUUCAGUGGCGGUGCCAUCUGGCUCUCAGCGUAGUAAUUUCUCUCGCUAUUGGGUCCGGUGGUUGCUUGCCAAAACCCCCCCAUUUCUUACGGUUGACCUCGGAUCAGGUAGGGAUACCCGCUGAACUUAA